AGCAGCUAUGUCAAAUUGGGUGCUUGGCUUACCCAUGGCAGGCACCAGCCCAAAAGGCUGCCACAGUAGCACUGUGACUCAUGGGCCCUGAUCACCUCUUUUGGAUCUCAGGGAUAAAUUUGGUCACAGACACCA
Small nucleolar RNA from Talpa occidentalis (Iberian mole), 135 nucleotides. RefSeq annotates it as small nucleolar RNA SNORA5. The record is from RefSeq and is a predicted model, not a curated record. The transcript has a single exon. NCBI's taxonomy places the organism in Eukaryota, Metazoa, Chordata, Mammalia, Eulipotyphla, Talpidae.